Molecule: long non-coding RNA, 397 nt
Organism: Capsicum annuum
Lineage: Eukaryota; Viridiplantae; Streptophyta; Magnoliopsida; Solanales; Solanaceae
Exons: 2
Source: RefSeq, a predicted model, not a curated record
UUUAAUAAAAAAACUAAUUGUUAUACAGUAGAUUAAAUUGCAACAGUUUGAAUUCAAAAAAAGAAAACUUGAAAGCCAUCACUACUCCCACUUCAUUUCCUCUUCUCACGAGUAUAGUUUGGGAUGGUUACUUUUCACCGUUUUACCUUCUUUUUUUCUGAGUUUUAAUUAAUCUUCUUACAUUAUACUUUUUCUCUCUUUCAUAUGUAGAGAUGAAUUUUUAUAAUAUGAAAUGGAAAGAACUGCAAGCACUAUGCAAUAAAGUUGGAACAUGAAAUUUCAGAUCUUUUUUCUCUCCAUGUAUAAUCACGUACGAAUAAAUUAUGCCUGAUGGAGUAAAGAAUUAUGAUAGUGAAAAAUGUCUUCAUAUUGCUUCUAUAUGCUUUUUUUUUAUUUU